RNAcentral lists this long non-coding RNA (233 nucleotides) under Elaeis guineensis (African oil palm). Its description in RNAcentral is "long non-coding RNA (EGUI_LNC037436)". Lineage: Eukaryota; Viridiplantae; Streptophyta; Magnoliopsida; Arecales; Arecaceae. The record is from RNAcentral.
AAUACAAAAAGUCACUAAAAUGGCUACCUACUCAUCAGUGACUUACUCAAAGUUACAAUGGUGUAGAUGUUCUUUGACUUGCGGUGCCUCGACUGUUCAUAGUGAGAUUACUGUAGUUUGACUGCACAAUCACUUAGUUAUCUAGUCAUUUGAAAUAUUAUGAUAUAUGUUAGCUAUAGUAGAUCUAUUGUAGGAAUAGGAUGUGUACAUAGAUGGAAUCUAUCAAUCCUGAU